This 429-nucleotide ribosomal RNA is filed under the name Gemmatimonadota bacterium. RNAcentral describes it as "Gemmatimonadetes bacterium partial 16S ribosomal RNA". It matches the Rfam family "Bacterial small subunit ribosomal RNA", at positions 355 to 776 of the family's 1533-position model. The record is from RNAcentral. Lineage: Bacteria; Pseudomonadati; Gemmatimonadota.
UAGGGAAUCUUCGGCAAUGGACGAAAGUCUGACCGAGCAACGCCGCGUGAGUGAAGAAGGUCUUCGGAUCGUAAAACUCUGUUGUUAGAGAAGAACAAGGACGUUAGUAACUGAACGUCCCCUGACGGUAUCUAACCAGAAAGCCACGGCUAACUACGUGCCAGCAGCCGCGGUAAUACGUAGGUGGCAAGCGUUGUCCGGAUUUAUUGGGCGUAAAGCGAGCGCAGGCGGUUUCUUAAGUCUGAUGUGAAAGCCCCCGGCUCAACCGGGGAGGGUCAUUGGAAACUGGGGGACUUGAGUGCAGAAGAGGAGAGUGGAAUUCCAUGUGUAGCGGUGAAAUGCGUAGAUAUAUGGAGGAACACCAGUGGCGAAGGCGGCUCUCUGGUCUGUAACUGACGCUGAGGCUCGAAAGCGUGGGGAGCAAACAGG